ACUUCAACUUUAUUUGCGUAGGAUAGGUGGGAGGCUAUGAAGAUCAUCUUCUGGGAUGAUUGGAGCCGUCCUUGAAAUACCACCCUGAUAAUGUGAGAAUUCUAACUUUUCGCUGUGAAUCCAGCUGAAGGACAGUUUCAGGUGGUCAGUUUGACUGGGGCGGUCGCCUCCCAAAAGGUAACGGAGGCGUACAAAGGUUUCCUCAAAUCGGUCAGAAAUCGAUUGUAGAGUGCAAAGGCAAAAGGAAGCUUGACUGUGAGACCUACAAGUCGAACAGGGACGAAAGUCGGUCUUAGUGAUCUGACGGUACCGAGUGGAAGGGCCGUCACUCAACGGAUAAAAGUUACUCUAGGGAUAACA
RNAcentral lists this ribosomal RNA (360 nucleotides) under uncultured eukaryote. Its description in RNAcentral is "LSU rRNA". It matches the Rfam family "Bacterial large subunit ribosomal RNA", at positions 2121 to 2479 of the family's 2925-position model. The record is from RNAcentral.